GUUUCAACUGGUGCACUCAAGAUCUCAAUAUCAUUGAGCUGAAGUUCAUUGUUCUUACGCCUUAUAUUUUCAAGAAUGGUUCAGAAGUCAUGUGAAUCAAAAUAUUUUUGUAGCAUACAAUCAUUAGAAUAGAUCUCUCGGCUCUCUUUUUUACUUGUACACUGUUGGCUUGUUGGUUGGUUUGGCUCUGAAUGGGUGUACUUGAGGUCUCAUAACCCUAGAAAUUACUUCAAUACAACUAAAUCGAAGCUUAUUGGUCUUACCCUUUCUAUUUUCAGGAAUGGUUCAGAAUUCAUGUGAAGCAAAAGAAUUUUGUGGCAUACGGACAUUAGAAUAUUUCUUGUCUCUAUUUUACUUGUGCACUGUUGGUUAUGGAUUUUAUGCCACAUAUUUUUAUCUGCUACUGCAAUGCAUUGCCUGAU
This 422-nucleotide unclassified non-coding RNA is filed under the name Hevea brasiliensis (rubber tree). The record is from RNAcentral. Lineage: Eukaryota; Viridiplantae; Streptophyta; Magnoliopsida; Malpighiales; Euphorbiaceae.